This 210-nucleotide long non-coding RNA is filed under the name Elaeis guineensis (African oil palm). RNAcentral describes it as "long non-coding RNA (EGUI_LNC075250)". Lineage: Eukaryota; Viridiplantae; Streptophyta; Magnoliopsida; Arecales; Arecaceae. The record is from RNAcentral.
CCACCACGGUGAUUUGUAAGCAACUCACUGUACUUUAGUAUCGGAUCAUCUGAGUUUCUAACUUAGUGAUGGAAGAAUACUGGGUGCAGUCAAGUACUUAUCAAGUCAGUAUGUGAGUCAAGAUAAAAUUGACCUCUCUGAAUUAGUAAGAGAUAUGCAUCAGUGUAUUUCAAUUUAGCAAAAUCUUGAUCAGGAUAAUCCAUGAGAUGG